RNAcentral lists this ribosomal RNA (428 nucleotides) under uncultured bacterium. Its description in RNAcentral is "partial 16S ribosomal RNA". It matches the Rfam family "Bacterial small subunit ribosomal RNA", at positions 354 to 796 of the family's 1533-position model. The record is from RNAcentral.
GUGGGGAAUAUUGGGCAAUGGGCGCAAGCCUGACCCAGCAACGCCGCGUGAAGGAAGAAGGCUUUCGGGUUGUAAACUUCUUUUACCAGGGACGAAACAAAUGACGGUACCUGGUGAAUAAGCCACGGCUAACUACGUGCCAGCAGCCGCGGUAAUACGUAGGUGGCGAGCGUUAUCCGGAUUUAUUGGGUGUAAAGGGCGUGUAGGCGGGACAGCAAGUCAGAUGUGAAAACCAGAGGCUCAACCUCUGGCCUGCAUUUGAAACUGUUGUUCUUGAGUGUCGGAGGGGUAAUCGGAAUUCCGUGUGUAGCGGUGAAAUGCGUAGAUAUACGGAGGAACACCAGUGGCGAAGGCGGAUUACUGGACGAUAACUGACGCUGAGGCGCGAAAGCGUGGGGAGCAAACAGGAUUAGAAACCCCGGUAGUCC